RNAcentral lists this ribosomal RNA (409 nucleotides) under uncultured bacterium. Its description in RNAcentral is "bacterial SSU rRNA". It matches the Rfam family "Bacterial small subunit ribosomal RNA", at positions 29 to 481 of the family's 1533-position model. The record is from RNAcentral.
AGCGAACGCUGGCGGCAGGCUUAACACAUGCAAGUCGAGCGGGCGUAGCAAUACGUCAGCGGCAGACGGGUGAGUAACGCGUGGGAACGUACCUUUUGGUUCGGAACAACCCAGGGAAACUUGGGCUAAUACCGGAUAAGCCCUUACGGGGAAAGAUUUAUCGCCGAAAGAUCGGCCCGCGUCUGAUUAGCUAGUUGGUGAGGUAACGGCUCACCAAGGCGACGAUCAGUAGCUGGUCUGAGAGGAUGAUCAGCCACAUUGGGACUGAGACACGGCCCAAACUCCUACGGGAGGCAGCAGUGGGGAAUAUUGGACAAUGGGCGCAAGCCUGAUCCAGCCAUGCCGCGUGAGUGAUGAAGGCCCUAGGGUUGUAAAGCUCUUUUGUGCGGGAAGAUAAUGACGGUACCGC